This 59-nucleotide microRNA precursor is filed under the name Branchiostoma floridae (Florida lancelet). RNAcentral's name for it is "Bfl-Mir-4872-P33a_pre stem-loop". It matches the Rfam family "mir-4872 microRNA precursor family", at positions 11 to 69 of the family's 76-position model. Lineage: Eukaryota; Metazoa; Chordata; Leptocardii; Amphioxiformes; Branchiostomatidae. The record is from RNAcentral.
UGUCAGGACGACAAAAGCUCUGAGUCCUCUCAACACCAGAGUUUUGUUGCCCCGACUCC